RNAcentral lists this ribosomal RNA (505 nucleotides) under Cryptalaus sp. UPOL RK0015. RNAcentral describes it as "partial 16S ribosomal RNA". It matches the Rfam family "Archaeal large subunit ribosomal RNA", at positions 1972 to 2679 of the family's 2987-position model. Lineage: Eukaryota; Metazoa; Arthropoda; Insecta; Coleoptera; Elateridae. The record is from RNAcentral.
AUUUAAGGUCUAAUCUGCUCAAUGAGGAGUUAAAUUGCCGCGGUAUCAUGACCGUGCGAAGGUAGCAUAAUAAUUAGCUUUUUUAUUGAAAGCUGGAAUGAAUGAUUGGACGAGAAAACAUCUGUCUCUAUUUAAUUUUUUGUUGAAUUUAACUUUUGAGUAAAAAGGCUUAAAUGUUUUAGAAAGACGAGAAGACCCUAUAGAGUUUAAUAAUUUUAUUAUUAAAAGGUUUUUGGUAUUAAUUUCUUUUAUUUUUUUAAUUAUUUAGUUGGGGUGACUAGAAGAAAAAAUUAACUCUUCUAUGGUUUUAUUACUGAUUUGUAAAUAAUUAUUCUGGUUUUACCAAGUUUAAAAUAAAUUACCUUAGGGAUAACAGCGUAAUUUCCUUUGAGAGUUCUUAUUUAAAGGGGAGUUUGCGACCUCGAUGUUGGAUUAAAAUUAAUAUUGGGUGCAGUAGCUCAAUUAUUAGGUCUGUUCGACCUUUAAAAUUUUACAUGAUCUGAGU